RNAcentral lists this ribosomal RNA (254 nucleotides) under uncultured prokaryote. RNAcentral's name for it is "partial 16S ribosomal RNA". It matches the Rfam family "Bacterial small subunit ribosomal RNA", at positions 524 to 776 of the family's 1533-position model. The record is from RNAcentral.
UACGGAGGGUGCAAGCGUUAUCCGGAUUUACUGGGUUUAAAGGGUGCGUAGGUGGGUUGGGAAGUCAGUGGUGAAAUACUUUCGCUUAACGAAGGAACUGCCAUUGAUACUAUCAAUCUUGAAUGUAGUGGAGGUAGGCGGAAUGCGUCAUGUAGCGGUGAAAUGCUUAGAUAUGACGCAGAACACCAAUAGCGAAGGCAGGUCUCUGGGUGCCUCCUGACACUUCUAGGACGAAAGCGUGGGGAGCGAAUGGG